This 739-nucleotide unclassified non-coding RNA is filed under the name Zea mays. Its description in RNAcentral is "misc RNA Zm00001eb175900". Lineage: Eukaryota; Viridiplantae; Streptophyta; Magnoliopsida; Poales; Poaceae. The record is from RNAcentral.
GGCAAGGGUUGUCCAGGGGUACCUGUCCAUUGUUGCCAUCAGCAUCAAGACAGGAAGUGGAACAUUAGUAAGUACUCCAUCUGGCCAUCUUAUGCAAAAAACAUUUAAAUCUUUUUGUUCCAUGUAAGAGCUAGUUUGGUGGACAGUGAAAUGGAGAGGAUCCAUAGAGAAGGAAUCCUCUCGUAUUCAAAAUUAAAUAGCGAGAAGAUUCCUCUCCCAUAAAUCUCCUCCAUUCCCAUGUUCACCGGUCUAUAUAAAGACAUUGAAGAAGACAGCGAAGCAGCUCUCUGCCUCAUGCUGUCCUAGCUAGCUGCCUACAAUCUAGGAAUCUGUCUGUCUACAUAUCAUUGUUGGUGCAUGUGUGUGCCCGGCUGGCCUGUGACCGGAGUCUUGUCUCUCUUCAUUGAGAGAGGAGAGGGAAUCAUGAAUGGAGCAACAGGCAGCUGAUGCAUGGAGCGUUUCUGGUGCACGUGGGCACGAAGAAGCUAUAUCUCACCAAUUGCAUGAAUGCACGCUCUUUCCAGCUUAUGCACUCACUGGACGAGCGAGUAUGCAUCAGGGUGGAUGGCGCGUCACCUUCUCAACUUGGUCACGGCGAUAUAUAUGUGUGAUGCGCAACAGCGACAUGCGUGCUGCUCGCUCGACCAACAGUUUAAUGUGCGCUCGAGUGCUAAUGCAACAACCAAAACAAAGGGGUGGGUUACCAUUCGUUAAUUACCAUGUGUCCGGCUUCGAGUAU